This 1194-nucleotide ribosomal RNA is filed under the name Triticum aestivum (bread wheat). RNAcentral describes it as "partial small subunit ribosomal RNA". Lineage: Eukaryota; Viridiplantae; Streptophyta; Magnoliopsida; Poales; Poaceae. The record is from RNAcentral.
AUGGACCCCGACGCCGNNNNNNNCGACGCCACCCUCCCGGUCGACCUCCUCCUCGAGAUCGCGGCGCGCUCCGACGCCGUCUCCGUCGUGCGCUGCGCGGCGGCCGCCAAGCCGCUGCGCCGCGCCAUCCUCGACCGGGGCUUCCGCCGCCUCCUCGCGCAGCGCGCCACCGCCACCUCCGGCUACGACCCGUCCCUGCUCCGCGGCGUCUCCUACAAGAUCGAGGACAGCGACGCCGACCGCCCGGCACGCGUCCUGCAGGCCGUGCCCCCCGACGAGCCCUCCGUGCUCCGCUUCAACGAGAGCCUCGCCUUCGAGCCCGUCGCCUCCCGCGACGGCCUCGUCGUGCUCCGCCGCCUCCGCCCCCGGCCCCUCUUCGGCCAGUCCAUCGAGGAGGGGCCCCCCGGCAGCGUCCUCCGCGUCUGCCACAGCUUCACCGGCGCCGUCUCCGUCCUCCCCUCCGUCUCCAUCCGCGACUACCGCAAGCACGCGCUGCUCUCCGUCGACGACAACGGCCGCGCCUACGAGCUGCUCGUCGCCGACGAGCGCCUGCGCAUCCAGAUUUACUCCUCGCGCGAGGGCCGCUGGGGCCCCGUCCGCGCCGCGCUCCCCCGCCGCCAGUCCAGGCCGUUCCAUGACUCCUACCCCCUCGUCAUCGGCCGCACCGUCCACUGGCUCUGCAACCCGGAGCCGCUGCCGCCCGGCCGCCACCUGUCCGGCCCGGAGCCGUACAUCGUCGCCGUGGACGUCGACACCAUGGAGGCCACCGUGAUCGAUCUGCCGCGGGGCUGCACCAGCAGAAUGACGGCCUCUAUGAGCCACCGGGGCCUCCUCCUGGCCGCUUCCGUGGACGGGAGGCUCAAGGUUGUGGUCUCGGAGACCCAGGUUAUAUCAAUGUGGACCAUGUUACCACCCGUCGAGGGCGAGCCGAGCUCGCCGCCGAGAUGGAUCCGGCAGGUGCUGAUAGACAAGCAGGACUGGGGCGUGCACAGCUCAGUUCAGUUCGAGGGGUUCGGGCUCAGGAGUGGCACUGUCAUCCUAUAUGUCGGCAGAGUUGGGCUCAUUCGGCUCAACCUUGCCACAAAAGAGGCGGUCAUCGUCUACCACCGCAGCGAUACGGCCUACAUCUCGCAGGUUUGCCUGCACGAGAUGGAUUUGUCCUCUCUGCUGCAGACCAUGAAGCCUCUGAGCUAG